RNA transcript from Zea mays, 1497 nucleotides. It is a transcript of the gene named heat shock 70 kDa protein - vacuolar sorting protein pseudogene, with no coding region annotated. NCBI's taxonomy places the organism in Eukaryota, Viridiplantae, Streptophyta, Magnoliopsida, Poales, Poaceae. The record is from RefSeq and is marked validated. The transcript is spliced from 9 exons.
UGUAUGCAUAGAUUUCUCCUCUUCCACUACCGACCCGAGCCAUCCCAUCCGCCCCGCAUCCUUGCAUCGGACCUCAUAAGUUUGAACCAACAAUCAGCUGCGGGGCCACCACCUCCUGAGGUCAUACUCCUACGCUGUAGCCUGGGUAGUGGUCUCAACAUCCACGGGAUUGUCACAGUUGAUUCAACUAUGGUAAGUUGCCAGGCUAGGCAAUCAUUCAACCUCUUUUUUUACUUCACAUCACAGUUUCAUCUCUUACCUCUUCAUUUUCAGGUGCCUGAAAUUAGCAACUCAGCUGUGGAGCUCAAUGGGGUUCUCCUAAAUCAUGCUUUAGUUACAUUUCGUGAGCUACUUCUAAAAUGCGCUCAGCACUACUCAUGGUAUGUAUUAAGGGCAAUUUAUGUAACAAAGGGAAGCAAAUUGCUUCCUCCAUCUUUUGCCUCAAUUUUUUAUGACUCUGCUUCAUCUGUUCUUGAUGUCUUCUUCGACCCUUCUGAUGGAUCGCUCAACGUCCCUGGCCUUACCAUAGGCAUGUUUAAAUUUAUAAGCAAGAACAUGAAGUCGGGUGGUUUUUCUGGAACAAAACGGUACCUUGGUGAUCUCGGGAAAACUGUUAAAACUGCAAGUUCGAACGCUCUCUUUGCUGCUGUCACAGAAAUUUCAGAUAGUGUUGUUAGAGGAGCGGAAACAAAUGGUUUGAAUGGCAUGGUUACUGGUUUCCCAACACUGUUUUUUUGCUAUUUUUGCAUGCAGAUGCUCGAGGAGGAUGUGGCAGUUCCAGUCUCAUCUGCUAAUGAAGCUCCAAAGGAUACUACAAAGAUGGACACAGAUGAUGCACCAAGUGAUCCUGUCUCUGGAACUGAUGUGAAUGUGCAUGAGCCUGAUACUACUGAGGCUGCUCCUGCAGCUGAAAAUGGAGCAGAAAAUCCCGAGGAAAAAUCUGUUCCAAUGGAAACUGAUGCAAAGGUUGAGCCAUCAGAAAGGAAAGUUAAGAGAACUUCUGUUCCGGUCCAUGCAUUGGUCUAUGGUGCCUUGGCUGUAGCUGACCUGCAGAAGGCUGUAGAGAAAGAGUAUGAGAUGGCUCUUCAGGACAGAGUAAUGGAAGAAACCAAAGAGAAGAAAAAUGUUGUGGAAGCUUAUGUCUAUGACAUGCGUAACAAGCUCUACGAUAGAUACAACGAUUUUGUGACACCUGAGGAGAAGGAAGGGUUGAUUGGAAAGCUUCGGGAGGUUGAAGAUUGGCUGUAUGAAGAUGGUGAGGAUGAGACAAAGGGAGUCUAUAUUUCUAAACUGGAAGAUCUUAAGAAGAUUGGUGACCCAAUUGAGGCACGGUACAAGGAGUCAACAGAAAGGGGUUCCUCUGUAGAUCAACUGGUCUACUGCAUCAACAGUUUCAGAGAGGCUGCUUUGUCCAGUGACCAAAAGUUUGGCCAUAUCGACAUAUCUGAGAAACAGAAGGUAGGGCAGAGUGCCAUUUAGUAAUCUUCAGUUUCAGUA